CUUGCGUAGUCUGGAUCUCUCUCCAUCACCUUGGGACACUGCACCUUGUCUGUAAUGUCAAGUGGCUCAUAGCUUCCUAAAAUAGAGGCUCUUUCCCAACUGUAAGCCUUUGCUUGUGCUGUCCUCUCGCUCCUAAACCUUUUCAUCCUAUCCUCUUCUCAAUCUAGAAAAGGACUGCUCAAUCCGGCUCUUCCUUCAGCUGUCACCAUGUCAUUAACCCAUUGUGAGUCUGGGAUGAUGACCCUCUGAUACAUUUCAUAGUCUCAUAGCCUUUAUUUCUGCCUAGCACCUGUUGCCUCAUAUUGAAAUUCACUAAGUCUUGUGAGGGACAUUUUAUUUCUCUGUCUUCUCAGUGUUGGGUUAGACUAGGUCAUUAGAUUAGGUUACCUGGCAGGUGGUAGACUCAAGACAAAUGCCUGUAUGUUUUAAUCCUUCAUAUACAGUAAUAUAUUCACUCAUUACCUUUUUAAACUUAUCAUUAGCAAGGUGUGGGUAAGCUUCAUAUUUUUGUCCCUGAAUUUAAGAGAAGGAAGGUACCACAACCCGGAGACUAGAGCAAUGAGAAAUGCUUUCUGAAGAGGCAUCCUAAAAUGCAUGUGUGCAUACUCUCAUGCCAAAGGAUGAUUCUAGAAUGGUGCAGGUAAUUCCAGACUCUGAUGCCUUCCUGUCUUGUAUGUCAGUCACCUGUCUGCUCUGUACUGUUGUAUCCUUUUCCUCACCCCAGAAUUCUCCUGCCUUGACAUUGUUUUAGGAUCAGUAAUGAGAAAGCAGAUAAUGAAAAUCAUUCCUUUUUGCUUUUCUGUUUAGUGAUUUACAUGGAAUUCUAGAGAUACACCCCCCAACCCUGAAUUAAUGUGCUGGUUUUCCUAGAGUAGCCAGUGCAGUGCCUGGCCACAGCAGGAGCAUGAGGGGCACGCCGUAGUGCAUCCUCUCCCUGUCCCCUUCCUCAGGUCAAGGGGUCCUCAUGCAGCCACUUGGGCAUCCCAAUUUGUGUUGUUUGGAAAGAUGAGAAGAGGGGUUCCAGCUCUCAUUCCUGCCCGAGUGGUGAGGGCCUGAUGGGGACAAGUUGCUGGGACUCUGAGCACGUUCUCCAUCCUGACACGGUUGUGCCCGUGGCUCAGGAUGGGAAACCAUGCGGAAACCAACUGAUAAGAAAAGUGGACUUUUGUGGGGUGGCUUCAGGAUGAGAAACUCCCAUUAGGGCCAGGUUGCCUGGUAAGCCUGAUGUUGGCGAAGGUCCGGAACAGGAGUCAACAGAGCCUGAAUUGGAUGCCUCUUUCUCUUUGCUUCCUGAGUAAAGCAGGGACAGUACUAACAUGGAUUCUAAUGCAGUAAAAACUGGAGCCAGGGUGGGGGUGGGAAGCAAUUACUCUGUUACCUCGAGUGAAUAUUACUCAUUUGAAGUAAAUCUCUUGGCAUUGCCACAAGAGUAUUCACAUGCACAUAAAUAUGCCAACAGGUAUAAUCUUGUACUUGGAAUAUUUGUUAUGAUUUUCAAACAGGCAUGCCUUAACAUAGUAAAGUGAAAGACCAAGAGUGAGUGAUAAUUUAAGGAAAUAAAACCUGUUUUUUAUCAAUGACUAGAGAAUCGAAUAUUGAUGUGAUGUCACUUAUAAGGCAUCUUUGCACUCAGAGGCUGUGAUAAAUUUCCUUGCAGCUUACCACAUGCUGAAAUUUAGCUAUUGCAUCUUGGCAACCCAUCCUUUUCAGGCAUGGUGAUGCAAGACAUGGCAGUUUGCCAUUAUGCAUCUCUCCUACUUCUUGUCAUAAUAACAGAUUCAACUCUUCACCGUUACUUUUCUUCUUGCCUUGAUCACAGAGGUUAUUUAACAAGAACAAAGCUUUUUGAAAAAUAUUAAAACACAGCUGGCCUCAAGACUAAUUGACAACAUUUGUCCAUCUGGGCCUGUACCGUAGAUGGCCCAAGUGUAUCACUUCAGUGGCGUUGUCUUCUGGAGGUUGAUCCUGAAACUUCAGCCAUAACUCAGUGACAGCUCUCUGGGGGGAAAGGGGAAUGCCCUGACAUAUAUUUUGAGCACACAGAGUUUGGAGCAUGGCAUCUUACACAGAGCAAACACUCAUUUGUCUUUCCCUCCUCUUAUUUAUUUUCUCUGGCCAACAUUGUCACUGCUCUUAAUAAUUCUGAAAUUUCAAAAUAAUAAAGUACUAGAAAGGUAUUUCAUAAGCUGCUCCUGAAAUUUAAGCAUCGUAAGGCAUGGCAUUGGAGCCAGGUGACUUUCUGCAAGACAUUCUACAUUCAUAUUUGGUUCAAGACUUUUUCAAAUGCAGAUUUCCCUUUCUAAUUAGAGAAAAACGAACAGCCAAGUUAACCUGAGCAUCAAAGUUAUAAAAUGUAAAAUUUUUUAAAAUUAGACAUCAUAAAGAUCUGACCAAGCACCUAAGCAGACGAUGCCUUUUGCAUCUGAGUAAAAUGGAAUUUCCCUGAGUCACCAUACAUGUGAAUGUGUUCAGGGAGUCAAAGGAAUUUGUAAUUUAUUUACCUUAGUAAAUACAGAUUUUACAUCGAUGGCUUUUUUAUUAGCCUUACAUGUAUGAAUGAAAAUAUAGGGAAUUUUUUUUUCCCCCAAGGUAAUCAUAAUUAAAAUGGCCCUCAUCAUUUUGAAGCAUAAUUGAAGCAAAUGUGUAUCAUCGUAAACUUGUUGCUCAUGGUCACGGACACAGAAAUGUGCAUGAACCAGGAGCAGUAGAUGUUAGAGGUUAGUAUACACUUAAAGUAAAUGGGAAGGAAGGGAAAAAGGUGAUUCAAUUAGAGCAAAACUCUACUGUACUUGGCACGAAGGCAAUCAGUAAAUUGCUCUUUAAAUUAUUUAAUGUCUUACUGUAACAUUGUUAUCUUCUUACAACUUUUAAUUUUUUUUUACUCUUUUAUUAGGUCAUAA
Long non-coding RNA from Manis pentadactyla (Chinese pangolin), 2900 nucleotides. RefSeq lists it as uncharacterized. The transcript has 2 exons. Lineage: Eukaryota; Metazoa; Chordata; Mammalia; Pholidota; Manidae. The record is from RefSeq and is a predicted model, not a curated record.